Molecule: ribosomal RNA, 1318 nt
Filed under: Lebbeus groenlandicus
Lineage: Eukaryota; Metazoa; Arthropoda; Malacostraca; Decapoda; Hippolytidae
Description: 16S ribosomal RNA
Rfam family: Archaeal large subunit ribosomal RNA (bases 616-1318)
Source: RNAcentral
GGACGUGCUCUAAAAGGAUAAAUAAUUGAUUAAUAAGGUUAAAUUGUUAUAUUGGUCAGAGUAAUGGGAAUAAUAUGUUAAUAGUAAGUCGCCUGAAAUUAGUGUCGUUGGUUAAAGGUUAAAAGUACUGUAGGGGAACUUUGUGAAUUAAUAAAAAGAAAUAUUUGUACCUUUUGUAUCAGGGUCUUCCUAUUUGGCUAUAAAAUUUUAUUUAUUUUCGAAGGGAAAGGAGCUAAUGUUUAAAACUAAUUACCGUGGUAAAGGUAUUAGAAAUUAAAGAUUAGGAGUGAUAUGCUAGUCGUCUUUCUAUAUCUAAUUUUUUCUGAAAUAAAUUUAAUUUAGCGUCAAUUGUUAGUUAGGUUGGCUGAGAUUUUAGGGGGCAUGAGCUCGUUAGUUAGUUUAGUUUAAGGUUAAAUAAGUUAUAUUUUCAUUGGAAUAGGCUUAAAAUUAGCUAAUUUUAGAGGGUGUUAUAAUCAAUGUGGUGAAUAAAUAUAUAUUUUUAUUUGUUUGAAUUAAGUUAAGAGAAAGUGUGUUUUAAUAUAAAAAAUAUAGUUAAAGUGGUUGUAUUAGUAGAGUGUUUAUUGUGUUUUAUGGAAUUAAAAUUUGAUUAAAUUAUAAUAUAUUUUUGUUAAGGAGAAUUAACUCGGCAAAUUAGACUUCCGGCUGUUUAUCAAAAACAUUUUUGUUGGUUUAUAUAAACAAUUUAGUCUGCCCACUGGCUGUGUGCUAAAGGGCCGCGGUAUUCUGACCGUGCGAAGGUAGCAUAAUCAAUAGUCUCUUAAUUGGAGGCUGGAAUGAAUGGCUGCACGAGAAGGAAGCUGUCUCCUCCUUAAAAAUUGAAUUUUACUUUUAAGUGAAAAGGCUUAAAUAUUCUGAGGGGACGAUAAGACCCUAUAAAACUUUACAAUUUAUUUCUGCUUCAUAAAUUUUUGUUUAAAUUGAGUGAGAUGUAUUAUUGUUAGGUUGGGGCGACUAUUAUAUAAUUUUUAAUAACUGUAAGUGAAAGGAAUAGUUUUAUUUAGUUAGUUGAUCCUUUAAUAAAGAUUAAAAGAUUAAGUUACUUUAGGGAUAACAGCGUAAUUUUUUCUGAGAGUUCCUAUCGAUGAAAUUAGUUGCGACCUCGAUGUUGAAUUAAAGUAUCUUUUAAGUGUAGCAGCUUAGUUAGUUGGUCUGUUCGACCAUUAAAACUUUACAUGAUUUGAGUUCAAACCGGUGUGAGCCAGGUUGGUUUCUAUCUCUCAGGUAAAAGAAGCCCUUUUUAGUACGAAAGGAUCAAAAGGGCCAGCAAAUCUGUUAGAUUUUGAUGAAUAGUAAUUUU